Molecule: non-coding RNA, 314 nt
Organism: Penaeus vannamei (Pacific white shrimp)
Lineage: Eukaryota; Metazoa; Arthropoda; Malacostraca; Decapoda; Penaeidae
Source: RefSeq, a predicted model, not a curated record
CAGCCCCUAAGAUUUGUGAAAAAUAUUUUUUUCAAAGCUAAACUUACAUAUUCGAGUUUUGUGUAUUGGAUAUGCAGCUUAUAGGGCGAUUCGGCAUUGCGAAGCAACGGCAGCCAGGAGGAAACUGGCAGUGACUUUAAACCUCGUUCAUACCAACUGGAGCUGUUCAACACUGCCCUAAAUAAGAAUUCGAUACUCGUUCUCGGAAGUGGGUCAGGCAAGACAUUCAUCUCAAUCCUCCUGAUUAAAGAAUUGGGGCAUCAAGUGAAUUGCAAAAACAGAAAAUUCAAGGGUCCCUGAAAGGAGGAAGCAAA